UGAACGCUAGCUACAGGCUUAACACAUGCAAGUCGAGGGGCAGCAUGGUCUUAGCUUGCUAAGGCCGAUGGCGACCGGCGCACGGGUGAGUAACACGUAUCCAACCUGCCGUCUACUCUUGGACAGCCUUCUGAAAGGAAGAUUAAUACAAGAUGGCAUCAUGAGUCCGCAUGUUCACAUGAUUAAAGGUAUUCCGGUAGACGAUGGGGAUGCGUUCCAUUAGAUAGUAGGCGGGGUAACGGCCCACCUAGUCUUCGAUGGAUAGGGGUUCUGAGAGGAAGGUCCCCCACAUUGGAACUGAGACACGGUCCAAACUCCUACGGGAGGCAGCAGUGAGGAAUAUUGGUCAAUGGGCGAGAGCCUGAACCAGCCAAGUAGCGUGAAGGAUGACUGCCCUAUGGGUUGUAAACUUCUUUUAUAAAGGAAUAAAGUCGGGUAUGCAUACCCGUUUGCAUGUACUUUAUGAAUAAGGAUCGGCUAACUCCGUGCCAGCAGCCGCGGUAAUACGGAGGAUCCGAGCGUUAUCCGGAUUUAUUGGGUUUAAAGGGAGCGUAGAUGGAUGUUUAAGUCAGUUGUGAAAGUUUGCGGCUCAACCGUAAAAUUGCAGUUGAUACUGGAUAUCUUGAGUGCAGUUGAGGCAGGCGGAAUUCGUGGUGUAGCGGUGAAAUGCUUAGAUAUCACGAAGAACUCCGAUUGCGAAGGCAGCCUGCUAAGCUGCAACUGACAUUGAGGCUCGAAAGUGUGGGUAUCAAACAGGAUUAGAUACCCUGGUAGUCCACACGGUAAACGAUGAAUACUCGCUGUUUGCGAUAUACGGCAAGCGGCCAAGCGAAAGCGUUAAGUAUUCCACCUGGGGAGUACGCCGGCAACGGUGAAACUCAAAGGAAUUGACGGGGGCCCGCACAAGCGGAGGAACAUGUGGUUUAAUUCGAUGAUACGCGAGGAACCUUACCCGGGCUUAAAUUGCAGAUGAAUUACGGUGAAAGCCGUAAGCCGCAAGGCAUCUGUGAAGGUGCUGCAUGGUUGUCGUCAGCUCGUGCCGUGAGGUGUCGGCUUAAGUGCCAUAACGAGCGCAACCCUUGUUGUCAGUUACUAACAGGUUCCGCUGAGGACUCUGACAAGACUGCCAUCGUAAGAUGUGAGGAAGGUGGGGAUGACGUCAAAUCAGCACGGCCCUUACGUCCGGGGCUACACACGUGUUACAAUGGGGGGUACAGAGGGCCGCUACCACGCGAGUGGAUGCCAAUCCCCAAAACCUCUCUCAGUUCGGACUGGAGUCUGCAACCCGACUCCACGAAGCUGGAUUCGCUAGUAAUCGCGCAUCAGCCACGGCGCGGUGAAUACGUUCCCGGGCCUUGUACACACCGCCCGUCAAGCCAUGGGAGCCGGGGGUACCUGAAGUGCGUAACCGCGAGGAGCGCCCUAGGGUAAAACUGGUGACUGGGGCUAAGU
Molecule: ribosomal RNA, 1452 nt
Filed under: uncultured organism
Description: SSU rRNA
Rfam family: Bacterial small subunit ribosomal RNA
Source: RNAcentral